RNAcentral lists this long non-coding RNA (9355 nucleotides) under Marmota monax (woodchuck). Lineage: Eukaryota; Metazoa; Chordata; Mammalia; Rodentia; Sciuridae. The record is from RNAcentral.
UAGAGCGAGGCCGGCGCCGGCGCCCCCUGCCGGAGGGACUCGCGGGCAGCGGGCGGGGCGCGCGGGAAGCCGGGGGCAGCCUCCGCGUCCCGGCGGUGGCCUUCUGCGCCCGCCUGUGGGUUUGCGCCUCGGACCGCUGGUACACAAAGGUGGCGCCUUCGGGCGUCCAGUCGGACCUCGCGGGAGCCGCCCACGGUGCACAGGCGUCCAGAGCAGUUGCCACCAACCUUCGGGGGUCGGAAAACCCGGAAACGUAGGUCACAAAUCAGAGACUCCAAGCGACACUUCACCCAACCUCUGUACUGGGGCAAAUCAUGGAGCCACGGGUCCCAGAAACUCAAGACCCGGGAGGAAGAGAAGCAAGGGCUUGGCAAAGGGGAUGUUCAGGCAAAGAAACCGUCACCGCGGGCUCCUGGCCAAGGCCCGUAGGGACAAAGAUGUCCCUCCAAAAUGCUCAGGCACUUCUGGGAGUGGAGCUGCGUGGAGAGAGCCCGCGGGAGAGCGAUGCUAUCUGAAGCCACCGCAGCUUUUGGUUUACUGUUAAAAGCAAAUUGUGUCAUUUUACCCAUUAAAGGUCGAACGCUAUUUGUUCUUUGCAGAACCCCAGAACAUGCAGAAUUAAUUUGCUUCACUUGUAAAAGACGUUUUGAACGCAAUUCAAAUAGCAUACUUUCUUGCUUAUUCUUGGUUUUGCUUAGCACAUGCAAAGGUCUGGAUUUGGAAGGCCUGAUCCUCUUGUUUGUAACUGAGGAAUUUUCUCCCCCCCCCCCUCUCUUGGAGGAAAGAUUUGGAUUAUCCUGCCAUUCUGUUGUUUGUUUUCUGACAUUUAUCUUUUAACUGAUUACCAAGCAGUUUGUUUAGUGUUUUUGCUGGAGCAUUAUUCUCUGUUAAUUGGUGUGAAUUAGGGAGAGACCUGGCCUCUGUGCCAGACCCACAGGAGGCUGGUGAGCUUGCCUGCCUGGAAUUGCCCCCCACAGAUUCAGACAUGGCAGAAAAUAAAAGUUCUCUAGCUAUGGUCAGCUGACAAAAUGGCUGGACCAGCCCAGGCCCCACCCUGUUCAAAUUAUUUAGGCCUCAAGCUCUCUCUGCCCAAUUUGUCUGGAGGAACAUCUCACACAGUUCUCAUUACUAAUACACAUUAGGGGGUCUGAUUGCAGCUGGCCAGGGCCCCACUGGAAAUCCAGAGGAAGAAUGGGAAAAAAAUGCCCACUCUUGGCUGGGUGGUAAAAUCAUUAUCAAACUUCCUGGACCCCAAGCUCCUUCCUCAGGCCAUCCUUCUGCCCACACUGGUGCCUCUGAACUGGGGGCUGCUCUCCAGGGUGUUGUUUGAGGUCUACCAGGUGUUUAUCUUUGGGUUUUUCCUCAUUUUACCUUUCCUUGGGGGCCCUUACAGAUGCUUUUAGAAUAAGCAAGUUUUAAGAGUUGGUCUUGAAGCACUUAGUUCCAAACCCCUCCAUUCUGGAAGAAGUGAAAAACAGACAGAGGCUGCAAAGAAGGGUCCUCUGAGCCCUGCUCCGAAAAACUCAGUCACUCGGGAAGACUCUGACACUUCUAUGGGACUGUGUGCCUUGGAGAAGGAGAUCCUUUGGCCAUUUCCCAUGGUUUUCUUGUCAAUAACUCCAGCCUGCGUUCCCUGUCUCUCACUCCUUCUUCCCCCUCUCCCUCUUGGUUCAGAACUGAAAGAUAAACACAAUAAGUAAAAUCAGGAAGCACAAGCCUUCUCAGUGACUAGCAAAAUGACUUAGAUCCAAGGCCAAACUGCAGGUACACACUCCUUCCCACCUGUUAGUUAUGAGUUGCUUCAUAACAAAAUGCCGCAGAAUAUAACAGCUUCAAACAGUAAACUUAGUUUAUCGUUUCACAUAAUUCAGCAGGCCAAGAAUUCAGGAGAGGCUUAGCUAAGUGGUAGUUUCAGAGUCCCCCAGGAGGUUGCAGGCAGAUGUCAACCAGAGUUGCAGUCACUGGAAGCCUUAAGGGACUGGAGGAUUCUCACAAGGCCAUCUCGGUGCCUCAUGCUGGGCAGAUGAGUGCUGAGUACUGAACCUCUCUAUGGAGACCUUGACUAUGGUCACUGCAUGGCAACUCACUGACCCCAAAGGAGAGCCACACAGUAGGUGCAGUGUCUUCUAUAACCCAGCCUUAGAAACGCAUAGCAUCAUUUCUGCAAUGCCCUGUUGUCAUGUUUCUGGGCCCUCUUCAUCACAGAAGAGAUCUAGACAGGAACAUGUACACCAGGAGGUAGAAAUCAUUGGAAUCCCACAUCACCUCUAUGGGAGGCAGCUACAUGGAUAGGCCUCGGGAUAGGCCGCAAGCAAGAGGGAGAGAAAAGGUGCACACUUUUCUGUACUAGAAAAAGUAAAAGGCCAUGCCAGGCACUCCUUGCAGGCUACAACAAGGCCUUAGGCACCAGGGAAGAACAUUCCAGGUGGAGUGAAGGGUCAGAGUCAAGGCUUCCAGCCAGAGAUACCUGAGAAAUAUCUGAGGAACAUCUUGGAGUCCAGGUUGGAGACUGUGUGGCUUAAACUGUGUUUUCCUCAUGAAUAGUAAUGUUGAGUAUUUUACAUUUUACUAUAGUAACAUUGCAUUUUUUAUACCCAUUGACUAUUGUAUGCCUUCUUUUGUGGAAAUAUGUCUUCAAAUAUUUGGUUAAUUUUUUAAUUGGAUGAUAUCUUCUCAUCUUUGAGAAAUUUUUUUUGAGGAGUUCUCAUUUUUAAGAGUUCUUUUAUGAGUUCCAGAUGCCAAUCUUAUUUCAGACUAAGACAUAGAAAUGUACUUGUCCAGUUGCUGACUUGUCUUUUCAUUCAAGAAGAUAAACAGCCAAACUCACCAGGAUAGAAGUCUCCAUUUCCCCACUCUGUGCUCCUUACCUGUCUGACCCCCUGAACUUACACAAACAGCUUGGCAUAGUCAGGAGAGAUCCAAGGUCACUAAACCCAAAGACCAUUUUCAUUCUCCCCUUUAGCCUUUCUGCAGCACUCUCUCCUGGACCCCUCCCUCCUCAGCUUUGAUGAUGUCAAGUACUGUGGAUGCCCUCUUUGAGAUGGGCUCACAGAGGGAGGGAGGAGGCAAGGUGGCUGUACAAGUCUUGGUAAAGUAACACUGGCAGUUUCCAUAUUUCCAGCUUAUAGACUACAUAACCUGCUCAUAAGCUCAUCCUGAAAUUACACAUCCAUCCCAAACCACGGUGUUUUUGUAAAGCAUAUUCUCUCUCAAACCAUUUAUUUCUCUGCACAGCUAUUUAAGCUUUCCUGUCUCCAAAAACUCAGAUUCAGAAACAAUAAGCCAAGGAUUCCGAUUCUCACCGAGAACUACAAAAGUCAGAAGUUCACCAAGCUUGAGUGUCGUAGUCAUCGUGACAAAGAAACCAUCUUCAACUCCUGAUCUUUUUGUCAGGAAGUGGGGGCUGCAGGAGGAAGCUACAGGAAAUCGUUUUUUCCCUUUGUAGUUCAUCGUUUGUAUGAAGAAGGCUCCCACCUGGCAGGUGGUGAUCUUGGGGAGACUCUGACCAGUCAAAGCUCUAGUGUGAAUCUCUUUAGUCAGCUGGGCAAAUAAAUGUCUCACGGUUUAUUUUCCUCCCUUGUCACCAAAUAUGUGAUGUCUCAGCUAACACCAGAUAUCUGACGGAAAAUCAGGUUGGCCUCCAACAUCUGAAUUCCAUUGUGACACUAACCGCCCAGAGUCAGCCUCAGACUUCACAGGUUGAAGGGCUCAGACCUCAAGACUGCACUGAUGCCAGCUGCACCUACUGAUUCCUGGGUGCUUACCUGGGAUUUCUGUCUGACUUGCUACAAAUGCAAAGGUUCCCACAAAUCCCUCCUCUAAAACACCCUGCAGAACUCCGGAACACACUGUCCCUUACUGUUACUGGUUUACCAUAAGGACAAAGGAUACGACUCAGGGAUCACCCAGUGGAAGAGAUGCAUGGGGUGAGGUGUGGGGUUGAGGGGAACGGAGCGUCCCUGCCCUCUCCAGGCACAUCCAUCCCCCCAGAACCGGGACCUGUUCACCAGCGUGGAAGCUCUCUGAACCCUGUCAUCUAGGGGAUCGCGUGGAGUCUUCAUUGGGUGGGCAUGACUGACUACACAUCAUUGUCAGGGGUGGGGCGGAAAGCCCCAACUCUCUAGUCGAGGCUUCAUCUUUCUGGCGAGCAGCCCCUAACCUGAAGCUAUCCAGGGCCACAGCCACCAGCCAUCCCAUGAGCACGAAUUCAGAAAAGGUCUGGCCGCUCGUUAUGAAUGAUGCCUGAUGCUCAUCACAGGAAAUUCCUAGAGUUUUAGGAGCUCUGGGCCAAGAACUGGUGACAAAGACCAAAUAUAUGUUUCCCAUUACUCCACACACAUAGUCAGAAUGUUUUUCCUGAUGCAGGAAUUAAAAAUAGUAAUAAUUCAUUCUUUAAAAAAAAUCAAUAAACCGAGAUGUAUGUUUAUCACCAUGGUUACUACUUCAUGAUUAUUAUGUUAAAACACUAAUGUCACUAGGAUUUUGUUCAGUGAUGUUUCAUGUCUAUGAUAUCUUUCAAAAUCCCUUUUUAAGAUAAUUUAUUUCUUAGUCUUCAAAGUGAGGUAGUCUGGGAUGGUGGUUCUUCAGCAGGCUGAGGCAGGAGGAUAACAAGUUCAAGGCCAACCUCAGCAACUUAAUGAGAGUCUGAAUUUUUUUAAGGGGGGUGGGUGGGAACUGGGGAUGUAGCUCGGUAAUAAUCACUUAUCUAGCAUUUGCCAAGUACUGGGUUCAAAGGACAGUACCACAAAACAGAAACGAUACAAAGCAAAACUAAGGUAGACUCUUUAUCCCCUAUGGAUCAAUGCUAUAGUUUAAACAUGGAAUUUCCCUCAGAGGCCCUUGAAUUAAAAGCUUAGACAUGGUGGUGCUGUUGGGAAGUGGUGAGAGGUGGGGUCUUGUGGGAGGUCCUUAGGUCACUGGGUAUGUUCCCCCAAAAGGAAUUGUGGGAACUUGACCUUUUCUCUUUCACUGGUCCCUGGCUCACAAGUGUUUUCACUCCAACACACACUUCUUGCACACACUCCUUGCCAUAGGCCCAAAAUAAUGGGGCCAACGGAUGAUGGACUCCAAAACUGAGAGCCAAGAGAAAACCUUUCCUCUUCACAAGUUGAUUGCCUCAGGUAUUUGUUGUAGUAAUGGAAAACUGACUAACACAAUAAAAAAAUCACCUGUUUUACUGGACAGUGCUUAAACACACAACUGCUCUCUUGAAUAACACAAUCUCUGAAAUACAUUAAAAGCUAUGGUUCCACUAGUAAAGCUACUGGAAGCCGAGACCUAUAGUGAGCAGUCUUACAUUCAGCCUGCUGGUUUUGAUGUAUGUUAGGGAUUGAACUGUGUUUUCCAAAAAGAUGUUGAAGUUCUAAUACUAGGAACAAAUCCCUCCCUGGGGCCUUCAGAGGAAGCCAGUCUCGCCCACACCUUGAUCUCAGACUUCUGGCCUCGAGAACUGUGAGACAAUAAUUUCUACUGUUUAAGCCACUCAGUUUUGUGUUCUUGGUUGUGGUGGUCCGAGAAAACUAAUAUUAAAUAGUAGUGAGCAUAGAUCAGAGACAGCCCUCUCAAAUUCUAAUUAUCAUAAAACAAACAACACGAAAUUGUUGAACAUAAAUUAUCUCAACUAGACUAAACACACAUUCACACACACAUGCACACACUAUUCUCUGUGUUAGAAGAAGAAGACCACAGUUCUCUCAUUCCCAGGAGGGUGUGACUGAUGAUCCAGUGAUCCUCUUGUAGAUAUGAAUGUGCUUACUCCCUGGGGUUGAUCUAGGCCAUUCUUGAACUGGAUCCACCACAGGGGACCUCAUUAAAGGAAAACCCAGAACACCCAGGAAAAGGAGAGCAGUCUUGUGUAGCUCUGCAGAGGGAUGGAAGCCUUCAUGCUUAACAAAUCCUAGUGUACUGGGUCAAGACAUGUCCCAUAAGGUUUCUCCCAUAAGGUUUUGGGUCCUUCAUGCCAACAAGGGCUUUCUACUACUGUGCCAUUAAUAAGAUGUGGUGGUCCUCUGUGAGACUUAGACAGUCCUUGAAUGUGAGGAGAUGGGAUACGUUCAGACACAGAUGUAGGUUACGAUUCCUGUCACAGUUUAGAAGGUCAGUGUGUAACGGGAUGACUACAUGAUGUCGCCUUUCUCAUCACCCCAUGAGGGUGCAUGCAGCUUCUCUCCAUUUUCUUUUUAAUUUCUAUUUUAUUUUUUCGGCACCGAGGAUUGAACCCAGGGGUGCUUAACUGAUGAGCCAUAUCUCCAGGCCUUUUAAUUUUUAAAUUUGGAGAUAGGGUCUUGUUAAUUUGCUUAGGGCCUUGUUAAGUGGCUGAGGCUGGUCUGGAAUUUGCGAUCCUCCCGCCUCAGCCUCCUGAGCCACUGGGAUUACAAGCAUGCUCCACUGUGCCCUGCUCUCUCCAUUAAAAAAAAAUGGUAGUUGUAGAUGGAAAGCAUCCUUUAUAUUAUUUGCUUAUUUGUGUGUGUGGUGCUAAGGAUGGAACCCAGUGCCUCACCCACACUAGGCAAGCACUCUGCCACUGAGCCACAGCCAAAGCCCCUCCAUUUUAUUUUUGAGAUUUCUUUUUUAAGGGAUUUAUAGGUGAAACCCACCUGUGUGCGCAAUGAAAAUGUUGUUGUGGACAUGAGAACCGUCUCGUCAGUUGGAGGAAAUUGUCUACUAAAGCCAAUGUUUUACUCUUCUGGGAGGUUGAGACAUUGAACAGAGGAAGAAGCAGGGAAAAUUCAGCAAACCAAUCUGCUUGUCUCUUCCACAACAGACAGUUAACAGGAAAAUCAACACGACUGAUCAGGACGUAUAUGAAAAGCAAAUACUUAAUUUGAUCCGUAAUCAGAGAAAUGCGAAAUGAAAUAAAGUCCUAUUUUUGUAAUGGCAAACAUUUUAAGGGAAACCGGUAUUCCCAAUCACUGUGAGUGGGAAUGUAUAGUGGAAUACACCCCCGUGGUGCCUUAGUGUACCCACCUCAGAGCUGACCUACUGUGCAGGGACACAGUGGCAGAGUGCUUAUCAGUGAUGUCCUUUAAACUUUCCUGAGUUCGAAUGUGACUUCUAUUCACAUAACCUUGAUUUUUUUUUUGUUUGUUUGUCAAGAUUAGUUGAGUACUUGAAAUGUAAUACUCUUAGGAAAAAAAAAUGAUCUUUUGGAUAUGAUUUAGCCUAAUGCAGGGGCAGGUGCCUGUAAUCCCAGAGACUCAGAAGGCUGAGCCAAGAGGAUCAAAAUUUGAGACCGGGCUGGGCAACUUAGCAAGACCCUGUCUCAAAAUAAAAAUAAAAAGGGCUGGGGAUGGUGUUCAGUGGGAAAGAAAAAGGUAUGAUUUAAACCACUAUUAUGUCAAAUAGCUGGUCACCAGAAAUCUUUACAGAAGGAUCAAGAAGCUCUAAAUCAGUAUUACUCAAAGUAAGGCGGUCUGUGAACACUUCAUCAGGUCCAUGACAAGAUGGAAUGCAAGUCAAGGCGUGGUUUCCUUCACCCAGAAAGUCUUGCUUAGUAAAAUCAUUAGCUGAACAGUGAGCAUAGCGUGUAAGGUGACACACUCUAGCACAAGUUCUUCAUCUUGCAGCACACUUAAAUGCAGACCAAACUUUGAGAAGCACCAAUUUAAAUCUUCUUUGUCUUAUUUUUUGCCUGUUUGAUUAAUCAGUGCCUAAAGAAAACUUGUUGAAGAACUCCGUGAUUGUGAUUUUGUAAAUUUGUUCCCACAAUUAUGUCAGGUUUUGCCUAACCACUGAGCCACAUCCCCAGAACAUUUUAUUUUUGAUAAGGUCUUGCCAAGUUGCUCAGGCCCUCACUAAGUUUCUGAGGCUGGCUUUGAACUCACGAUCCUCCUGCCUCAGCCUCCCAAGCCACUGGGAUUAGAGGCAUGCACCACUGCACCUGGCUGUUUUCUGUAUUUCUCAGCAGUGUUGUUAAGUACGUAUAAGUCUGUGAUAAUUUGAUCUAAGUAGGCUUUACUUUGUUUUAGCAUGAUGUGUGGUAAACACUUAUAGUGACUUCAUUCCCCUUUGUCUAAUCUUCUGAAUAUAUAAUCUUCCCCUCUCUCCCAUUAUUGUAGUCUAGCUUCCUCAUAUCAGUAAAAACAUGGACCUUUGGCUUUUGUGGACUGGCUUAUUUCACUUAGCACGAGAGUUUUUGGAUCCAUCCAUUUACUUGCAAACACCAUUAAGCCAUUCUUCUUUAUGGCUCAGCAAUACUCCAUUGUGUGUACAUAGACCACAUUUUCUUUAUCCACUCAUUUGUUGACGGGCACCUAGGUUGGUUCNGAGCCAAGAGAAAACCUUUCCUCUUCACAAGUUGAUUGCCUCAGGUAUUUGUUGUAGUAAUGGAAAACUGACUAACACAAUAAAAAAAUCACCUGUUUUACUGGACAGUGCUUAAACACACAACUGCUCUCUUGAAUAACACAAUCUCUGAAAUACAUUAAAAGCUAUGGUUCCACUAGUAAAGCUACUGGAAGCCGAGACCUAUAGUGAGCAGUCUUACAUUCAGCCUGCUGGUUUUGAUGUAUGUUAGGGAUUGAACUGUGUUUUCCAAAAAGAUGUUGAAGUUCUAAUACUAGGAACAAAUCCCUCCCUGGGGCCUUCAGAGGAAGCCAGUCUCGCCCACACCUUGAUCUCAGACUUCUGGCCUCGAGAACUGUGAGACAAUAAUUUCUACUGUUUAAGCCACUCAGUUUUGUGUUCUUGGUUGUGGUGGUCCGAGAAAACUAAUAUUAAAUAGUAGUGAGCAUAGAUCAGAGACAGCCCUCUCAAAUUCUAAUUAUCAUAAAACAAACAACACGAAAUUGUUGAACAUAAAUUAUCUCAACUAGACUAAACACACAUUCACACACACAUGCACACACUAUUCUCUGUGUUAGAAGAAGAAGACCACAGUUCUCUCAUUCCCAGGAGGGUGUGACUGAUGAUCCAGUGAUCCUCUUGUAGAUAUGAAUGUGCUUACUCCCUGGGGUUGAUCUAGGCCAUUCUUGAACUGGAUCCACCACAGGGGACCUCAUUAAAGGAAAACCCAGAACACCCAGGAAAAGGAGAGCAGUCUUGUGUAGCUCUGCAGAGGGAUGGAAGCCUUCAUGCUUAACAAAUCCUAGUGUACUGGGUCAAGACAUGUCCCAUAAGGUUUCUCCCAUAAGGUUUUGGGUCCUUCAUGCCAACAAGGGCUUUCUACUACUGUGCCAUUAAUAAGAUGUGGUGGUCCUCUGUGAGACUUAGACAGUCCUUGAAUGUGAGGAGAUGGGAUACGUUCAGACACAGAUGUAGGUUACGAUUCCUGUCACAGUUUAGAAGGUCAGUGUGUAACGGGAUGACUACAUGAUGUCGCCUUUCUCAUCACCCCAUGAGGGUGCAUGCAGCUUCU